RNAcentral lists this ribosomal RNA (392 nucleotides) under Salmonella enterica subsp. enterica serovar Alachua. Its description in RNAcentral is "partial 23S ribosomal RNA". It matches the Rfam family "Bacterial large subunit ribosomal RNA", at positions 1 to 433 of the family's 2925-position model. Lineage: Bacteria; Pseudomonadati; Pseudomonadota; Gammaproteobacteria; Enterobacterales; Enterobacteriaceae. The record is from RNAcentral.
GUUGUAUAGUCAAGUAAUUAAGUGCAUGUGGUGGAUGCCUUGGCAGUCAGAGGCGAAGAAAGACGUGAUAGCCUGCGAAAAGCUCCGGGGAGGCGGCAAAUAUCCAUUGAUCCGGAGAUGUCUGAAUGGGGGAACCCACCUACUAUAAGGUAGGUAUCAAUAACUGAAUACAUAGGUUAUUGAAGCGAACGAGGGGAAGUGAAACAUCUCAGUACCCUUAGGAAAAGAAAUCAAUUGAGAUUCCCUUAGUAGCGGCGAGCGAACGGGGAUCAGCCCAUUAAGUGAUGUGUGUUUUAGCGGAACGCUCUGGGAAGUGCGACCGUAGAGGGUGAUAGUCCCGUACACGAAAGGGCACACAUCAUGAUGACGAGUAGGGCGAGGCACGUGAAACC